This 99-nucleotide small RNA is filed under the name Trinickia caryophylli. RNAcentral's name for it is "Burkholderia caryophylli Burkholderia sRNA Bp1_Cand612_SIPHT". It matches the Rfam family "Burkholderia sRNA Bp1_Cand612_SIPHT". Lineage: Bacteria; Pseudomonadati; Pseudomonadota; Betaproteobacteria; Burkholderiales; Burkholderiaceae. The record is from Rfam by way of RNAcentral.
AAAAAAAAUGGGCUCACGCCCAUCUUCUUGCCGGUGGUCGCACCUGAGCCGCACAGAUAAAAAACCGCACGCCCAGCGACUCCGAGAGUUUAGCAUUUU